Molecule: ribosomal RNA, 253 nt
Filed under: uncultured bacterium
Lineage: Bacteria
Description: partial 16S ribosomal RNA
Rfam family: Bacterial small subunit ribosomal RNA
Source: RNAcentral
UACGUAGGGUGCGAGCGUUGUCCGGAGUUACUGGGCGUAAAGCGUGCGUAGGCGGUUUUGUAAGUUUGGUGUGAAAUCUCCCGGCUCAACUGGGAGGGUGCGCCGAAAACUGCAAGGCUGGAGUGUGGGAGAGGUAGGCGGAAUUCCUGGUGUAGCGGUGAAAUGCGUAGAUAUCUGGAGGAACACCGGUGGCGAAGGCGGCAUCCUAGACCGACAUUGACGCUGAGGCACGAAAGCGUGGGGAUCAAACAGG